Nilaparvata lugens (brown planthopper) is the source of this 9550-nucleotide RNA transcript. It is a transcript of the gene named coiled-coil domain-containing protein AGAP005037, with no coding region annotated. NCBI's taxonomy places the organism in Eukaryota, Metazoa, Arthropoda, Insecta, Hemiptera, Delphacidae. The transcript has 26 exons. The record is from RefSeq and is a predicted model, not a curated record.
GCCAAGAACCAACCAUUGAAAACCAACAGCAAAGUAGUUUGUUUCGGUAUUUCGGACAAGCGCAGUGUGACUUUGUUCCUUCACCGCUUUAUUCAAUAGUUGUUACGGUAUUUGUUGGUGUAAUUUGUUAUGUGAUUGUAUUUGAAACGUGCGGAGAGCUCGUGGGUGAUGUGAAUCAGUGUUGUUGAAUUGUGUGCAAAGUGAGAUACAAAAUAAUAAGUAAGUUGUGGAGUUGAGAAAGGAAUUCGAACGUUAAGAUGCCGAUGCCCCUAUGCUGUGAGCUCAAUAUUGCCGCCACUGUAGGCUAUGAGAGGAGUAGCGGCGGUCAGUAACAACGGCGCAGUCAAGAACGACAACAUCGCACGAAACAACGGCAACGGUCCUGAGGCGGUGGCACAGGGUGGGUCAGGUGGCACAGGAAGUGUUAUAGCCGCGUUCUUCGUCAAUAAGUUUCGCAGAAAUCGUCAACGGUUCACCAACUCUGAUGGUAAUAACAAUAGCAACGGUGGAGGGGUGAGGAGAGGGAUUGUAAGGAGACGUGAGUCACCCCGCAGAAGUCAAGAGGUGAAGGUUGUGGUGGUGCCUGAAGGCGACACCAGCAGCAGUGUCAGUAGUGUCUCUGCAUCUUCAGAAUCGUUAGAAUCGGUCGACCCGGAGAUCGUAGAGAAGUUUAUCGAAGAAGUGGAGUACUAUCGGAGGUGCAACGUUGUCGACGGUGUUAUCUACGCCGACAAAACGGGGCCCACCGUGGAAACAGUGCAAACUCCGGAGAAGAAAAAGGUGGGAGGCAUCCGGAGGCUGCUGACUCCCACCCUCUUCUCCGGCGAUGGCAGGCGCAGCAAAGUGGGUCAGCUGGACAAGAGGAACGGAGACGCCUCUCCCGGGAAGGCGCCCGUCAUUGAGACGGCAUUCGUCGGCGAUGAGCGUCGCUCCAAGAGUGUCAGCCCCUGUAGGUUCGAACCUCGCUACGGUGUCCCUAAAACCCGGCCCUCUCAAGAGCUAACUGUAGACACAGGGAGGCCCCCCAGUGCUGCUAGCACUAUUUCUUCAACAUCAACUUCCACCUUAGUCACCCCCCAAACAUCCCCCAGCUACAGAGACCGGGAUCGGUUACUCAUCCUCAGUCGAAACAACAAUAACGAGAAGUCUGGUACCUCCAGUCCGCUACCGAACUCCCCUAAUAAAAUUCGUCCCCGGUUCUACAGUAUUGAAAGUCCUGUCAGAUAUACGGAUAACAAUGUUAUAAAACCGCAACCCCUUUACAACAGCACUACACCUAGACGUCCCCGUAGUGUGUCACCGGACACCGCGGCAAGUUCCCCUGAUUACUUCAUUAGAGGUGCCGGACACCGUAAUACCAUCGGAUCCACUGUACGUGCUAGACAGAGUACGAUCUACGAAGAGGUAGAUGAUGCCGGACUGCAUCUAGCCGCUGAUAAAUCUGUCAAAAGAUUUGAUUCAUCGACGGGGAGUGGUACAGGUAAACGAGUCAGUUUCUCCCCUAAUCGUCAGCAGGAAAUUUACUGGCCCACCCGGAAAGGACCCUCCGUGGAGCCACCAACUCGUCGCGGAGGUGGUGAAGUGUCUUCUGCCGCCCCUGACCGUCCCCUGCCCCCUGUGCCCCGCCCCCGUGGUACUGGUGAGUACGGCCGUUUGCCGCCUCCAGCGAAUCAACCAGUAACUCGUCGAGUUCAAGCGUUGGCUAACAGAUGGCAGCACCAGUCCGAAUCUGAGUCUGGCAGUGAGGCCGGCGAAAUACAGCGUAUACUCCACAAUACCUACUACAAGUUCCAAGAAGAAGAAUGGAGCGGAGAAGGAAAAGGAAGAGGUCAACAGAAUUCAGAUCAGCAAGGCGGCCAAGGACGAGAGCGAGAGGAGGAGAGUAGAAAGAGCAAUCGAGCGAGGAGGGAUGACCCCAGAAGGCACACCCUGUCCGGUGAUCACCAUCACAACUACCCCUCCGCACUAGCGCGCAGCAUGGAUCUAGAGAUGGGAUCGAAAACUCAGAGACGAAAGUCGCCGUUGCCACGGGGCUACCCGCCGCCCUCGACGGCCAUGUUGUUCGAUGACGACCCGGGCAUCAUGUCCGAAGUGGAGACGGCGUCGACCGGAUUCCGACGCGGCAACAAACAGCGCAGUUCGCUGCCCGUCGUAAGGACGCCUUCCAAGACGCUCGAACGACCCCUCGGACCGGGUGGAGGUGGCAUGGUGAUGGGACGGCCUCAGCCGCCCAUGGCGAUGGGCCCAGGGCCGGGGCCCCCGGGUCAUCCGCCCGCCUCCAGGAAGUACGUCAGUCUCGAUCCCAACUUCCACAAUCAUCCAGGAUUUUGUGGUUUGGUUUUUCUGCAGUAUCGAAGCGAAACGAAACGAGCACUUUUGCCGAACGAAAUCACGUCGAUAGACACAGUCAAGGCACUCUUUGUGCGCUCCUUCCCCAAGCAACUCACCAUGGAGUACCUCGAUUCGCCCCAUGUCAAAAUCUACAUCCACGAUUCAUCGAAGGAUAUGUUCUACGAAUUGGAGGAUCUAAGGUCGCACCUGCGUGACAUCCGUGACCGGUCGGUGCUGCGUCUGUUCGAGUCGUCGGACGUGAGCGGGGCGGGGGCGGGAGGCGGCGUGUCGGGGGCAGGAAUGGCUGUGCCGCCCCCAACCUGGGACCAGGAUCAGUCCUACUUCAGUGAGCCCGAGUUCGACUCCGAAUACCAGCACCAGCACAUCCACAAAACUAAGGGUAGCAAAUCGGCAGUGGGGGGUCACCAGCCUUACUACAUGACUCACUCGUUCCCGCCUGGAGGGGCGACCCUUCCUCGUGGCGGUCCCCUACUCAGAACCUACUCACCGGCUGUACCCGGACCUCCCAAACCCCCAACUGAUGCAGGGUACAUGUCAUCACCAGAGCGCGGUGGGUCUGCGCCAGGUAGGGUGUACCCCGCCCCCUACGUCUCCCCGGGGGCGGCGGGACCCUACGAGGACCCCUACUACAGCCAGUAUGGAUCCAGAACCGGCUCAAUAACUCCUGUCAUCGACGAAGAGGCUAGUGAUACCGAACUGAUAGACGAGUCGUACAGUUUGUACGGCGUGAAGCUGCCUGUGCCCCGUGCUGGGGGCCAGUUCCCCCCCGGCCCCCCUGUGCAUCCGCCCUAUGAUGCCACCAGGAUACGUGUCGAGCACAUGGAGAGACAGCUGGCCAAUUUGACGGGUCUAGUGCAAAAGGCACUCACUCAAGCACCUCCGACAACUCCCCGCGAAUUCCUCAGCGUUCCUCCCGGCAGUAACUCAAACUAUAGAAAUGCUAAUGAUGAUUAUGACAAACACUCCAGCUCCAGUUCAGCUUCUCUACCGGAUGAGACCUAUGUUAGAUCAGACACAAAACCACCGAAACUGGGAAGAGACAAAUCGGUUAGUUUCGAGAAGUCGGUUUCAUUCAGUGAUGAACCACCAGACAUGAACUCGCCCAAACAACAUUCGCCGCAGCAUGGAGUCGACACUAAGCCAACAAAACCUGCCAUCAAGUCUUCUACUUUGCCAAGGACCUCAUCACAAGAUUCUUCUUCAGAACGAGACCGCCACAAACCCGCUCCGCCCCCCAAGCCCGUCUCUCUGUCGCCCGGCCAGUAUGAGGGAAGGCAUGUGUAUAGGGAUUUGCAGCUAACGCCGGAAAUGUACAACCAGCUGCGCGGCCUGCAGAAGAAAGCCAAAGACCUGCGCCAGGAGAUGAGGAAUCUCAGACGAAUGUCUCAAGCUCAAGCCCAUUCGGUUAGGGAAACAAUGAAGGAUACGUUCAUCAAAAUUCGAGCAAUGUUGAUGACGGGUGGAGAGGGCAUUUGGUCGGCAGCGGGUGACGCAGAGCGAUCGAGGUUGAACAGAGAGGAAGACCUCUACAAACAGGAGAUGCUUCGGCUCGAGUCUGACCUCACCGAACUGGAGAGCACAGUUGAAGAGCUGAGAGGAAACGUGAUCAAUCGCAAAACUAGAGUGAACAUGUCGGAUGUUGAGAAUAUGGCUUUAAUACUAAGUAAAUCCAGUAAAACUGUGGCCGAAUUGAAGCUACGAUUUCCUAGUUUACAAGAUGCUAUGAGGUCGUUGCUCAGUCAAGAAAUGGAGAAGGUUGUCUGUGAAGAAAAAUUUUUGAAAGAAGAGCCUGAACGUCUGGAAAGUGCACUUCGGCGUUGCAAAAAGCUAACUGGAACAUUAGUUACAUUGAAAAGAUUGGCAUCGGUUCAAGAACAGCGUCUUCCUGACACUCGACUGUCUCCCACAAUGGACGAAACUCCCCCUGUCACCCCCACCUCAGGAAAGUUUCAAAAGGGUGAACUGCUGAAGCAGAACUGCUGACUUAAAUUCUCGUUCAAUAUGUGAACUGAAUGGCUGCAUGAUUAUCUCAUCAUUUUAGGCCUCUGGAGCGGGGGAUGUCGUGGGGCCGAGCGGGGGGCCCGGGGGGGUCGCAGGAAGAGGGGGGCUCGACGCCUCCCGUCCGGAGAACGCACUCGACGCUCUGCUAGACGAACUGCAGACGUUUGCAAAACCGCCCCCUCCCACCGGCAGCAGCAGCACCAGCACACCAACCAGUGCUGGCGGCAACUUUACACUGCGCAGACUCCACUCAUACCCGUCGGGUGAUAGUGGGAAGCCACCAGUGCCCGAGAGAGGGGCAGAUCUGUUGUCGAAACGUGUGCCUCCACCUCCUCCCCCCCGCACCUCAUCACGUUCGCCCCUAUCUUCCCCCACGGGGCCGUCGGUUCCACCACGCGGGCAGUCUCCUCUACGCAGAGGCCGCUCCAGUCUGAAGGAGAACUCGAAAUCGGGCGGCGCCGAUCCUCCGCUGUCGUCCAGCUGUGAGAGUGUCAACUCGCAGGAGGGAGUACCAGGCGCUCAGUCUCGCCAGGAGAUGCUUGAGCAACGCCACCAGGAGUUGUUGCGCAAGCAGCGCGCUCUGCAGGAGCAGUACACCCGGCUGCAGCAGCUGCAGCGCGCGCCCCCUCCCGACCUCCUGCAGCUGAAGAAGACCGGUAGCGAAAGCAAUCUGCUGGCCAAGAUGGGUCUGGGACUCAGUGCUGCCGCACCCAUGUCGGGUAGCCUCUCCCACCUGGGCCCCACCACCACACCCUCCACCACCACACCCACCACCUCAACCUCCACCUCCACCACUAGCAAAGUAUAUGAGACAGAUAUACUGUGACAGAACACACUUGUCUAGCAAUUACUGUCCACUGCAGCCGCCACCCACAUCCACUCGUUUUAUGACAUGCUUUUGGUGCCUCGUCCAAAUGAAAGCCCAUUAGUUGCAACAUAGCAAGUUGACAUUUUUUGAUCUUGUCAUUAAAGUACGAUUUUUUUAAGAGGAAUGUUCUAUAUAACACUGCUUCCAAUGAAGAUCUACUAAUAAUAAAAAUCAGACUUAGUAGAAGAUGGUGAGAAUAAUAGGAUUUUAAAAGAUAGAGAAAAAAGAGUUGUAAUUUUUUGUGUAUUAUCAGUCUAUCUGCCAGUAGUUUAUCACCAGUUAUCGCGAAUUGAAGUUUUAUAGAGUACAAAUGACAUGCGGAACUAGGCACCAAAGAUGUCAAAAACCUUUGAAUCCUAUACGAUCCUUGUGGAAUUUGAGACCCCCAAACCUUUCAAUUGCAAUUUGUCAUAGAAUGUAGGUUGUUGCUUCAAACUGGUCAUCAACGGUUUUGAUUAGCUCAAAACAAUGUAUCACUGAAUUAUAAUUGACAACGUUGAAAAACAAUUUUUAUAAUUGACUGUUACUGCACGAUGCUAUGAAAACAACUAUAUUGUAUCAACCAAACAUUUCAUAUUAGGAAUACAUUUUUAAUUUUUUGAUGUUAAAAUUAACAAAUUUAACGACACAUUCAAAGUGUGAUUUUUAAAAUGUAUAGGUAUUUGUUCCACCAUUCUCAGCAACGACACAUGUUAACAAUAUUACAACUUCACAAGAGAUCAAAAUCAAGGAAUUUUCAAAACCGGAGAGAUAUUUAUUAAGUAAGUGAAAUACUUGAGUGUUUACUUGAUUUUCAAAGAAAUUCAACUCAAUGUUUUCCUACAUGAUUGACUCAUCUCAAAAUUCAUUUGAAUAUUGAAUAUUUGGCGACCAAUCUAAAAGUUCCUCUUGAGAAAUGAAUGUUUUUGUGUAUUGUUUAGUUCUAAUUAUUGAAUCUAACCUAACUGCUCUGAACCUAUCGUUUUUAACCUUCUCCAAUUUUAAUAGAGUUUUAAUUUAACUUAUUUAGGGCAUAUUGUGAAAUCCAAUGUGAUGAAAUAUCAUAUUCUUGUAUGAGCAUAUGAGAUAAGCUAGACUUUAUUGUGUGAAAUGUACAUGAAAUGUUGCAGGUCAUCAAUAUUGGCUCUGGUCGUGCUUACAAUUUUUUUGUUUCUGCACAUGCGUUGUAGCCUAUAGCUUUUCAAUGUUAUCAAUUAAAGAGCAAAAGCUACAGUGAAAUACCUAAUACGGUACCUCCAUCUUACAUGACUGAACUAUCAUCACAGACUUAUUUUAUAGGCUAAUUAUUAUUGAUAUCUUUAUCAACUUGAAUGCAUUUUUACAAUGCUACUGUCAGCUUUGAACGAAUGCUACAAUGCUACGCUUUGAACGAAUAACCAUCAGGGAUAGAAUUCCUCUAAACAUUUUAUUGAUGUUUUAAUUCUAUGUAAAGAUAUCGUUGUUUAAACGGAAUCCUAGGCAUGAUAUUUUAAUUUGUUGUUAAAUGUUGUUACCGCUGAGAAGGCUGCCCCAGAUAUAAAUUUGUUGACUUUUAAAAAGCAUAAUAUAUAUUAUCGCCUUAUUUGUUGAGUAUUAUUAUUAUUUCCAAGGUAUAUAAGCUGUAAUUCAGUUAAUAUUUCUACGCCAAUACGUGUGUUGGGUUGCAUUGAUGCUUGAGAAAAACCUAUUUUGUAUAGUAAAUGUAUAAAUAGUUUGUGUAUACAUUUGUAAGUUCUGUUACAAUUUAUAAUAUUUUAUUGAAAUGUUUAAAAGCAGUUAGUAUGUGAAACAUGAGGUCUUAUGUCUUAAUGAUAUUUUUGUGAGCUUUACACUCUCUUCAAAUGUGCGUUUUCUUAGAAAAUUAUAUGUGGAAUCUUCAAAAUGUGACUCAUUGUAGUUUAAGCUUACAAUUUAGUUGAGAAUUUAAUUUAUUAUACUAUGAUACCUAUGUAUGUGUUAGUCAAUAAGUUUUGUAUUAUAAUUCAAUCAAUCAUUAUAUUAUAAAUAAAUGUCUAGGAACAUUUCCUACUAGUUUUUGUUUCAUUUUAUUUUGAGCUAAACUAUAUUAAUUUUGUGAUCAAUUGUUUGCUUAUAACUAGAAAAGUGUGCACUCCAUAAGGUCUACACUCUAUUAAUUACUGGUACAUUACGAUCAUAUCAUCUUGUGUCUAUUCUCAAAUUUGAAUUACUCCUUUGAAGAUCUUCAAUGAUUUAUGUAACCAAUAUUUUUAUCAUAAAAAUUGGUUUAUAUUUUGAUGGAAUCACUUUCCUUUCUCAUUAUAGAGAGUUUCUAAAAAAAAUGUUCAGCCAGUAAAGCCGACUACUUGAAAUGUGAGUGUAUAGGUGGCGGAGCAUAUUUCAUAUUUCAAUGGCGGAGCAAUUAUUGAUUACGGUAUCUACCAUAGUCUUUCUAAUAAUUCAAAUAGCCUUUGAAAUUUAAUGUUUGGUCAAUUCACUUUUGAAUAAAUCAUCGUCCUUUUACUGUUCAACAUGAAAGCUGUAAUAUAAUUCAUGCGUUUAAACAGAGAACAAAACACCAAGAAUUUUGAAAAAAUAUCUGAGAGAUGAAUUUCAGUUUCAUAUGUGUGUUUUUUAAGAUCAAAUUUCAUACAUAGUGUUGGAUGUAACCAAUAAUGUAAUAAUUCUCUCCAAUACAUUCUUCAUACGGUACAUGAAUUAUGAAAACCUAUCAUGAGGUUGAUAGUAAUUUGAAUGAUAUAUGAUAAUAAUAAAGUCAAACAGUAACUGUAAAAUAACAUACUAGUUUGAAACCGCCAAAUUAUCCUAUUGGAACUUAUUAAUGUAUGAGAGCAUUGAAAUUAGUGUUAUAGCUAAUGGAUAAUUGAGAUUUGGACCCAAUUACCCAUUUAAAAAUCAUUUUAUUAUCCACUGAUGAAAAUAUUUGCUCAACUGACUGUAGUAACCAAAAUAAUCAGUGUAUAUGUUCGAAUAUAUAAAUGUAUCGUGUAUUCACCUCUUGAGUUGACGUUUUAAUAUGCACUCGACUUGUUUGCAACGAUGGAAAAAAAUAUAUAUAAAAUAUACAUCAUAUGAAUAGUUUAUAAAUAAAUAUACAUUAUUGUAAUAAGGCAUAAAAAAUAUAAUGAGAAUAUACAUUAAUGUUUAUCAACACCAGUUCAGCAUUGCAAUUAAGAUUGCAAUGUUAUCAAUUCUAUUGAUAGUUGUUGCAUAAUAUUUAAAAAUCUUUUAGUUAUGCACAUUUUUGGAGAAAAAUUUUCAUUUUUGAUGUUUGAAAAAAGUGUAUGAAUUUUAAUAUGAAUAACAAGUUACAGUACAGAAUGUAUAGCGAUGUGAGAAUCAUUUGCAAGAUAGAACUGUCGAUCCCCACAACUACAGAUGCUAUAAAGAGUAACUGUAGCCUACCUACAAAAAAAAAUUAUUUCAAAACUGGUUAUUAUAUCUUCUAAUCUAAUGUAAUUUUUUAUUUCAAACAUAUAUUAGUAAUUCUAUUCAAAAUUAGAAGCUGUUUGUUGAACGCAUAAGAUGCUAUUGUUGAUAAUCCUGCGAAAUUCUAGUUGUCAUUCAACUCUUGUAAUGUUUUAUUUCUUACAUCAUUUUCCACAGUCUCUGAUUAAUAUGAAAUGCAUUUUAGAAGCAUGCUCAACCGUAGUAAUGCUCUAAAUAACUAUAUAUUAACUAUACAUAAUACUGUGUGCCAAAUUACUACCGUACCCAAAGUCCUGCUGCAAAGAAAAAUGUUCUUUAUCGUCUUCCAAACUAAGCGCUCAAUAAUUUAUCAAUCUCACAAACUCAAAUAGGUACUCUUUGCAAUAGUUCUAUUGUUUGCUCCGAUCAUUUAUUGAUCAAUCUCCAUAAAUUCACAAACCAUCAAACUUGCCCUUCAUUUAGAAAGUUCCCAAAACAGUUAAUUUAAUAAAAAAUAUAAUUAUUCAGUUUAUCGAUUGAUAAUUUUUGACAUCUUGUGGGACCGGAGUCCUCCAAAUCUAUUAUAUAGAUAUAUCAUCAUAAAAAGUCUAGUACCCUACUUGCUGAAAUCAUACUCAUUCUGUUGGCAAUACACAUGAAGUUUCCCUGUUUUAUUAAUUCAUUUACCACCUUUUUUGGAUCAGUCCAUCCAUCAAUAAUGUUCAAAAAUUGAUAUAUUCAAAUUGUUUUAUAUAUCCUUUAUUACAUUCUUCACUCUUCCAUUAAGUAAGGAAAUCACCAACCGCAUAAAAAUAAGAUUCAUGACUAGAUUGCUUCUUUGCAAGAAUAUGGAACAUUUUUUACUGUAUUCUAAAUUGGUAUAGCCUGUAUAUUUGAUUUCGAACCUGUUGAACACUAAUCUUACUCUGUAAUAUAUAUGAAUAAAUCACUUUUGUUUAAAAA